Molecule: ribosomal RNA, 253 nt
Filed under: uncultured bacterium
Lineage: Bacteria
Description: partial 16S ribosomal RNA
Rfam family: Bacterial small subunit ribosomal RNA
Source: RNAcentral
UACGUAGGGGGCAAGCGUUGUCCGGAUUUAUUGGGCGUAAAGAGCGUGUAGGCGGCCACACAGGUCAGCUGUGAAAACUCGAGGCUCAACCUCGAGACGUCGGUUGAAACCGUAUGGCUAGAGUCCGGAAGAGGAGAGUGGAAUUCCCGGUGUAGCGGUGAAAUGCGCAGAUAUCGGGAAGAACACCGGUGGCGAAGGCGGGUCUCUGGGCCGAUACUGACGCUGAGGAGCGAAAGCGUGGGGAGCAAACAGG